GGGCGAAUAGCUCAGUCGGUAGAGCGCUUCGCUUACACCGAAGAGGUCCGGGGUUCAAGUCCCUGUUCGCCCA
Molecule: transfer RNA, 73 nt
Filed under: Chthonomonas calidirosea
Lineage: Bacteria; Bacillati; Armatimonadota; Chthonomonadia; Chthonomonadales; Chthonomonadaceae
Also listed under: 3 other names
Description: tRNA-Val
Rfam family: tRNA
About the family: Transfer RNA (tRNA) molecules are approximately 80 nucleotides in length.
Source: RNAcentral